AGAGUUUGAUCCUGGCUCAGAAUCAACGCUGGCGGCGUGCCUAACACAUGCAAGUUGAGCGCUUGAGGGGGGCAACCCCCAAGAGAGCAGCGAACGGGUGAGUAACGCGUGGGUGAUCUUCCUUCGAGUGGGGAACAACAUCGGGAAACUGGUGCUAAUUCCGCAUAAUAUCCUCGGGCCACGAGCCUGGGGAUCAAAGCCGGGGACCGCAAGGCCUGGCGCUUGAAGAUGAGCCCGCGUCCGAUUAGCUAGUUGGCGGGGUAAUGGCCCACCAAGGCUCCGAUCGGUAGCCGGCCUGAGAGGGCGGACGGCCACACUGGAACUGAGACACGGUCCAGACUCCUACGGGAGGCAGCAGUGGGGAAUUUUUCGCAAUGGGCGCAAGCCUGACGAAGCAACGCCGCGUGGAGGAUGAAGGUCUUCGGAUUGUAAACUCCUGUCGACCGGGACGAAUGCACUCGACCUAAUACGUCGGAAUGUUGACGGUACCGGUGGAGGAAGCCACGGCUAACUCUGUG
This 518-nucleotide ribosomal RNA is filed under the name uncultured bacterium. Its description in RNAcentral is "bacterial SSU rRNA". It matches the Rfam family "Bacterial small subunit ribosomal RNA", at positions 8 to 507 of the family's 1533-position model. The record is from RNAcentral.